AGUGAACGCUGGCGGUAGGCCUAACACAUGCAAGUCGAACGGCAGCACAGUAAGAGCUUGCUCUUACGGGUGGCGAGUGGCGGACGGGUGAGGAAUACAUCGGAAUCUACUUUUUCCGGGGGGGCUACGGGAGGGAAACUUACGCUAAUACCGCUUACGACCUCCGGGUGAAACCAGGGGAACUUCGGACUUUGCUCUCUUUAAUAGGCGGAUGUCGGAUUAGCUAGUUGGCGGGGUAAAGGCCCACCAAGGCGACGAUCCGUAGCUGGUCUGAGAGGAUGAUCAGCCACACUGGAACUGAGACACGGUCCAGACUCCUACGGGAGGCAGCAGUGGGGAAUAUUGGACAAUGGGCGCAAGCCUGAUCCAGCCAUACCGCGUGGGUGAAGAAGGCCUUCGGGUUGUAAAGCCCUUUUGUUGGGGAAGAAAAGCAGCAGGUUAAUACCCCGCUGUUCUGACGGUACCCAAAGAAUAAGCACCGGCUAACUUCGUG
Molecule: ribosomal RNA, 493 nt
Filed under: uncultured bacterium
Lineage: Bacteria
Description: partial 16S ribosomal RNA
Rfam family: Bacterial small subunit ribosomal RNA
Source: RNAcentral